This 497-nucleotide ribosomal RNA is filed under the name uncultured bacterium. RNAcentral's name for it is "partial 16S ribosomal RNA". It matches the Rfam family "Bacterial small subunit ribosomal RNA", at positions 28 to 507 of the family's 1533-position model. The record is from RNAcentral.
GAUGAACGCUGGCGGCGUGCCUAAUACAUGCAAGUCGAGCGAACGGACCAGAAGCUUGCUUCUCUGAUGUUAUCGGCGGACGGGUGAGUAACACGUGGAUAACCUACCUAUAAGACUGGGAUAACUUCGGGAAACCGGAGCUACUACCCGAUAAUAUUUUGAACCGCAUGGUUCAAAAGUGAGAGACGGUCUUGCUGUCACUUAUAGCUGACUCCGCGCUGCAUUCGCUAGUUGGUAAGGUGACGGCUUACCAAGGCAACGAUGCAUACCCGACCUCAAAGGGACAUUGCAUAGACGGGCAGUGAGACAGGGUCCAGACUCCGACGGGAGGACGCAGUAGGGAAUCCUCCGCGAUGGGGGAAAGCCUGACGGAGCAACGCGGCGUGAGUGAUGAAGGAGUUAGGAUCGGAAAACUAUGUUAGUAGGGAAGAACAUAUGCGUAAGUAACCGUGAACAUCAUGACGGUACCGAAACAGAAAGCCACGGCUAACUACGUG